This is a non-coding RNA of Podarcis lilfordi (Lilford's wall lizard), 4286 nucleotides long. The record is from the annotation of a GenBank genome assembly. Lineage: Eukaryota; Metazoa; Chordata; Lepidosauria; Squamata; Lacertidae.
UAUCAGUCAAAUUUUUCCCCAAAACCUUAGUUUUCUGUUUAUUUAAUUUAAAUCCCGCCACCCGACCAAAAUCAUUAAUCAAUUGUAAUACUCUUUUCGUACUGGGCUCUGGCUUCUGCAAGGUCAAAACCAGGUCAUCUGCAAAAGCUUUUAGUUUAUAUUGUUUCUGACCAACCUGAAUUCCUUCAACCAACCGAUCCCCUCUAAUCAUGUUCAGUAGCACUUCCAGAACCGAAAUAAAUAGCAAAGGGGAAAUAGGGCAACCUUGUCGUGUCCCUUUUUCAAUUUUGAACUCUUCUGUAACCACAUUAUUAACUAUCAGUUUAGCUUUCUGUUCUGAAUAUAUCGCCUCAAUCCCAUUCUCAAAACCCCGUCCCACUCCCAUCUCUUUUAAAUUUCCCAUCAUAAAUUUCCAAGAAAUAUUGUCAAAGGCCUUCUCCGCAUCUAUGAAAAUUAAAACUGCUUUUGUAUUUAUAUCUGUUUGCAGAAGUUCCAAGAUGUCAAUAAUGUUCCUUGUGUUAGCAAACAGAUGUCUGCCUGGGAGAAAACCGGCCUGGUCCUUAUGAAUUACUUCAUUUAAUACUUUUUAAAUCUACUUGCCAAAAUGUCUGCAAAUAUUUUGUAAUCCACAUUUAAAAGAGAGAUGGGACGGUAGUUCUUCAAUUGUGUCUUUUCAGCUUCUGACUUUGGUAUUAAUGUGAUGAACGCUUCCUUCCACGAAUCCGGUGCCCUCUUCCCCUCAAUAAUUUCAUUGCUGACCUCCAUCAAAGGUUGUAUCAAAUAGUCUUUUAAUGUCUUGUAAUACUUGGAGGUCAGCCCAUCUGGCCCUGGAGAUUUGCCAAGUUGCAUGUUCUGAAUAGCUUGUUCAAUCUCCUGUCGUGUUAUUUUAGAGUUCAGGAUUGUCCUGUUUUCUUGAGACAAUUUAGAUAGUCCAUUUUUGGCAAAAAUUGUUUAAUCUCAACUUCGUCUUGCGGCCCUUGGGUGUAUAAUUUUUAAAAUAUCUCUGGAAACACUUUCUAAUAUCCACUGGAUUCUGAAUGUUUUUUCCAUCAACCUCUAAGUUUGUAACCGUGUUUAAUCUUUGUCUUCUCUUCAACUGCCAAGCUAGCAGUUUUCCACAUUUAUUCGCCGACUCAAACGUUUUUGUUUCAUUAAUUUAACCUUCCAUUCAAUUUCCUGAUUUAUCAAUUUAGAAUAUUGUGUUUGAUAGAGUUUAAUUUCUCUCAGAGUUGGCUGUGACUUUGGAUUCGCUCUUAAUUUCUUCUCUAAUUCUUUUAAUUUGUCCAAGAUCUUAUCUUUUUUCUCAUUUUGUGUUCUUUUCUUUACUACAUUCUGUUGUAUCAAGAAUCCCCUCAUUACAGCUUUGCUUGCGUCCCAGACAAUUCUUUUUCCACCGAAUUGUUCAUGUUUAUCUCAAAAUAGUCCUUCAAAACUUUUUGGGCCUUCUUGGUAAUUUCCUGAUCUCUAAACAAAUUGUCAUUCAUCUUCCAUCUAAAGGAUCCAGUUGGUAGUAGUGUCAUAUCCAUCUUUACUGCAUUAUGGUCAGAGCAGGUCUUUGGGCAGAUUUCCACUUUUCUGACCUUAGGUGCCAGGCCUCUGGAAAUCCAUAUUUGGUCGAUUCUUGUCCAGGUCAGUUGGGCUUCAGAAAAGAAUGUUCCUUCUCUACCUAGUGGGUUCUUUGUCCUCCAAAUGUCAAUCAAAUCCAUAUUGUCAGUCAUUUCAAAAAAGUUUUAGGUAGUCUGCCGUCUUUUGUAACAUUUUGACUUUGUGACUUGUCCAUGUUAGUUGACACGACCCCGUUCAUGUCUCCCAUCAUUAUGAUGUUGUUGUAAUCCAGAUAUUCCAGCAUUGUCCCCUGCAGCUUCUUGUAAAAUUCCGAUUUCCCUUCGUUAGGUGCAUAGAUUCCUAAUAUCAACAGUUUCUCUCCUUGAUAUUGUAUCUCAAUGGCCAAAAUUCUUCCAUGUUCAUCUUUAAAUAAGAAUUUAGGUGACAGGCUCUCUUUUGCAUAUAUCACCACGCCUCUCUUCUUAACUUUGUCCGACGAAACAAAUUCCUGGCCCAAUCUUUUAUUUAUUAACACUUUUCUGUGGAGCCUCGUCACAUGUGUUUCUUGUAAACAGAUAAUGUCCAAUUGUUCUAUUUUUAAUAUAGGAAAUAUUUUCUUCCUUUUUUCCGGAAUAUUACAACCAUUAAUAUUCCAACUCAGCAAUUGCAGAGACAUCCUGGAUCUAUCUGGUUAUUUCUCCAGGGGUGGUGUCUUCUCUGGAUCUUCAAGUUCCCCAGGUGCUGGUGUUGAUACUGGCUUUGCCCCAGGCCCAAGGGGUAAUUCAAUUCCUUUUUGAAGGUCCUCUCCGUAUGUAGCCAAAAAUUUGUCUCUCUCUUCCAAUGUUCUAACUUUGACCUUUCUCCCUUUAAAGGUAAAAGAUAUUCCUUGUGGAAAUUCCCACCUGAAUGGAAUUGCGUUGCUCCUUAGUAGUUUAGCAAGUUCAGAAUAGGCGGCUCUAAGAUCCAGCAGUUGUCUUGGGAUAUCUUUAUAAAUUUCAAUUCUUCUGUCCAAAACCUCCAGUGACUUUCCGUAAUGUAGGCCCAGAAUCUUAUCCCUUUCCUCCUUUGAUCUCAAUGUAAUCAAACAGUCUCUGGGCCUCUCCUUCUUUGUGAAUCUUCCAAGUCUGAAAGCCGACACAAUUUUAAAAUCCUUUUCUUCCAAAUUCCAGAACUUGGAAAAUUCUUUGGUCAAAAACUCAGUUAAAUUUCCUUCUUCUGCCUCUUGUAAUGAUCUAAUCCUCAAAUUAUUCUCACGAUUUCGCAGUUCUAUCAUGGAAAGAUAAGUCUGAUGUUCCCCAACUUGUUUGGUGAGUGGCCUUACCUCUUGCUCUAAAUUUUCCAAUUUUUGUCUGGUAUCCUCAGCCAAUUUCCGAUUUUCUGCUGAGGCCUCCGUUAACUGUCCAAUUGCUUGUGUAUUCUGUACAACUUGUAUGGUUAAUUUAUUUAGACAUUCUGUAUUUUUGUCAAUCUUUGCUGAUUGCGCAUCUACUUUCUUGUCCAAAGCUUCCAAUUUUUCAAAGAUUUUGUCUAGAACAGAAACAGAUACUCCUGAGGCCAUAUCUUCCAAUUGUAACUGCUCUGCUUCACCCUCUCCCUCUUUUGCCUGUGGCAAGGCAACUUCUUCAAGUUCUACUUCUGAGGGCAAAGUAGGUACAGAUGAUCUACGUGUCUGCGAGGCUGAGGUUAGAGUUGUUAAAGUUGUUUGUCUAACUCUCCCUCUUUUCCUUGUGCCACUCAUUCCAACGUUGUCUAUCAGUCAAGGUCACACUGAGUUUUUCCCAUGGGAAUAGAAAGGCCCAGAGCAAGUAAACAACAAGGGAAUCGAAAGUAAAUGUAAAUAUAAAGUCACUGUUUUCAUCCAGUCCUCUAGAGGGAGCUUAAAAUGUCUUUCAGAGUCUAUUAAUGUCCAAGAACCUUCAAAUAUAAAUAUUUAGCAGAGUUUAUAAGUAGUCACUUUGUUACAGACAGUGCUUAUUUAUCUCCAAAAAGAAUGUUUCAAAUUUAAAAAGUCUCAAUACCCUCAGAUUGUUGCAAGUUCCAAUAUACAGUAUCCAAAUCUGCAAUACUGACAGCUCAAUUUCUCAAUGCUCAGGCAGCUCCUGACUCUGGGUUUCACCUUCUAAUUUGUAAUCCAAUAAAGGGGGAAAGUCAAGUGCAAGUUAAAAUUCCAAGUCUUUAGCUUAAAGUCUUUACUUUAAAUUGCAGGUUCAGUAGAUGCUUAGAUCUGUAAAGUUUAAAAUCUCUUCCUUUCAGCCUCCACUCCUCCAACUUAGUUGCUUUUUUCAAGUUCAAUGGCUGCGGAAGACGGACUUCCUGUUUCCACGUCUCUCCGCUUUCAGCCAAGUUCAAGCCAAUUUAAGGUUUUUCAUAUAAAGUCUCUGAUUUCAAGUGAUUCAGUCUUUACUCACGAGUAAGUUGCUUUUCGUCCGAAUCCGUGUUUUAGCAGGAAAAAGGAUCAGCGCUCACCGGCAGCAGCAGCGCGGCUUCACUCCGCAGACUGUGAAGCAGCUCUCAGCGCCGCAACCCCCCUCCACGCUCCGGAGCCCCUUACGAGGUUCCUUCUGCGUUUGGAGGGUCACUUAAGGCGCCCACCGAGCCUCAGGACCCCAAGCUCUUGCUGCCUGGGGUUUUCCGGAGUGGGUCUCCGCUUCGCCGUAGCGGACGACCCGUUUUCUGCGGAGCCUCCUCUCCCGUUCAGAAGAGGACCGCCAUUGCCGUUCGCGCCGCCCCUCGGAAGUCCU